RNAcentral lists this long non-coding RNA (316 nucleotides) under Brassica napus (rape). RNAcentral describes it as "long non-coding RNA (BNAP_LNC016266)". The record is from RNAcentral. Lineage: Eukaryota; Viridiplantae; Streptophyta; Magnoliopsida; Brassicales; Brassicaceae.
AAUCAUUAUAUGUAGUAGUUUCCUAUUUUCAUGCUAUUUAACAAAGUUUUGAUUCAAUCAAUCGGUUUACUAAAACUACAUGUAUUAACUUUCAUAUAAAGUGUUUUACCUUAUCAGAUUUUUAUUAACCUUGUAUUUAAAGUAUGACAAAUAAAAAUUUACUUAUCUUAAUAACGAGAAGGGCAAUAGAGAUCGGAGAUCCAACCAUUCAUAUUUUUUUCAGCUGUUUAUAAUCUCAUAUUAUAUCAUCUCCUUCAUAAUAAGUAGAUAAUCCUGAAAUAUUAUAAACUUGCUCAUAUAAAUAUGGCUAUUAUGU